Molecule: long non-coding RNA, 942 nt
Filed under: Ricinus communis (castor bean)
Lineage: Eukaryota; Viridiplantae; Streptophyta; Magnoliopsida; Malpighiales; Euphorbiaceae
Description: long non-coding RNA (RCOM_LNC002932)
Source: RNAcentral
GCAAGGGCUCUUAAGAUAUGACCCGGCAGAGCGGCUCAAAGCCAGGGAAGCUUUAAGACAUCCAUUCUUCACAAGAGAUCCAAGAAGAUGCGGCUAUCCUUUAUAAUGCCGUCCCUAAAAGUGAGGAGCACUGAGCAAUGGUAUAUAUAUAUAUAUAUAUAUAUAACAAAGAGAUGUCAUACUGUGAUUGAUGCGGUGACAUAAUUUUUUCAUGUCAAGUUUAACAUACAAUUGUUACCAUAUAGUGAAGUGUAUUCUCUUCCUGCCACGUCCAUUUUCCCCCCUUUCGUGGGUUUUUUCUUUUCUACGGCCUUCCUAAUUGACGUGUAUACCCAUAAUUUCCGGUUUGUCUUGUGAUGAUGAUCAAGUAAACAAAAACAAAAAAUGUUACAGCGUGUGUAAGAUGGAUGACUUAUUUUUUCGUAUUGUAUUUUCCUUGAGACAAACAAAUAGUUUCCAUUCGGUUUCUGCAACAAAGAGGGGAAAGGAAAUGCAGUUGGUCAAGUCAAAUUCAGAGCUGCCCUAGUGUUCUUUUCAUCUGCUUAAAUCCUUGGAGAUAAAAAUUUAUUAGAUUUGAGAUAGGAUUUUCGCAUUAGUUUGGUUUAAAGAAUAAUAUUUAUUAUUAACCGAUUAAUUCAGUUUUGAAAUUUUCACUUGUUGGAUAGAAUUUUGGCAAUAAUCUGUUUAUUACUUAAAAAUCGAACCAAAUAAUUCAGUUUUUCAAACCGAAUGGAAGAGUAGUAGAUUGACCAAAUAUCUGAUUUUGCGGGUUGGGAUGAUGCCAUCUCCUAAGAACAGGAAUCAGCCGUGAUACAACAGCAAACCUGUCACUAUCAAUUUCUAGCUGUAAUUUGCAUGUACAGAUGCUUAUCUCUUAUCUGUAAUGCAUUCAGAAUAUGCAAAGAUUCCAAAUUAAAACUUGGUUAAUCUAGAGAAAAGCAU